GACGAACGCUGGCGGCGUGCUUAACACAUGCAAGUCGAACGGAAAGGCCCUGCUUUUGUGGGGUGCUCGAGUGGCGAACGGGUGAGUAACACGUGAGUAACCUGCCCUUGUCUUUGGGAUAACUUCAGGAAACUGGGGCUCAUACCGGAUAGGAUCUCCUGCUGCGUGGGGGGGGUUGGAAAGAUUCGGCGGUUGGGGAUGGACUCGCGGCUUAUCAGCUUGUUGGUGGGGUAGUGGCUUACCAAGGCUUUGACGGGUAGCCGGCCUGAGAGGGUGACCGGCCACAUUGGGACUGAGAGACGGCCCAGACUCCUACGGGAGGCAGCAGUGGGGAAUAUUGCACAAUGGGCGGAAGCCUGAUGCAGCAACGCCGCGUGCGGGAUGACGGCCUUCGGGUUGUAAACCGCUUUCGCCUGUGACGAAGCGUGAGUGACGGUAAUGGGUAAAGAAGCACCGGCUAACUACGUG
RNAcentral lists this ribosomal RNA (468 nucleotides) under uncultured bacterium. RNAcentral's name for it is "partial 16S ribosomal RNA". It matches the Rfam family "Bacterial small subunit ribosomal RNA", at positions 28 to 507 of the family's 1533-position model. The record is from RNAcentral.